Quercus robur (English oak) is the source of this 1140-nucleotide long non-coding RNA. RefSeq lists it as uncharacterized. The record is from RefSeq and is a predicted model, not a curated record. Lineage: Eukaryota; Viridiplantae; Streptophyta; Magnoliopsida; Fagales; Fagaceae. The transcript has 2 exons.
AUCUUCAUCAAAAUAUAUGAACACUAACAAAAAUAUUUUUAAUUUUACAUUUCGUAGGAUUUAGUUUUCUGUAUUUUGGUCGGUUGGUUUUGAUUUAAUUUAUUGGGUAUCAAACCUGUGAAGAAUUUUGGAGAGCAAGCUUGAUCAGCUUUGUGGAGGCUCUUUGUGUUCUAAACCUGCUUGUAUGUUAGUAAGAGCAAAGUAGAUGGUGAGGUCUUGGGUUCAAGAUCCAGCCAAUGUAUGCGUAUCUUACUUAUAAAAAAAAUGUAGGUUAGCUCAGUCUUUAGGCUUAUCAUAGCAAUUUCUGUUGUAAUUUUGUACAAUAUCAGCUCUGUUCCAUUUCAAUUCCUUUUAUACAUUGUAUAGUUUCUUCUUAUAGUGUUAUAGUUUUUUCAAUGAUAUGAUUGUGAUUUAAAAUGGUAUGGAGAGCUGCAAAGAUAUGUUUGAUCUAAAUUCCAAAAGGAGCAGCCAGGAGCAGCUAUGCUAAUUGUUACUCCCUAUAAGAUGCAUUUAGAUUUUAUUUAUUCUGCCACUUCCCUUAUUGUUAUAUCACUGAAUUAUCCUCUAGACUUAUUAUAUUUGUAAAUGCUCUUGAUGAAUUUUUUUCAUAUUAGGGAAGUUAUUAAUUAUCUCUAAUUUGUUUUAAUUGGAACUUUUACAAUACAAAUAUGUAAGUACAUAUAUGUAAUUGCAAGUACAGAGCUACAGCCAUGCUUAGCAUGCCAUCAACCUCAUUGAAAUUUAUGUUGCAUAAAGGAUAUAAGAAAGUUGUGUUGUUUUCACCUUGCAAUGGCAAAGACAAGAUUUAGCAAAAUAAGUACAGCCUCCAAAGUUUUAUUCAGCAUAAAUAUAAUCAGGAUGAGAUUUUGAUUGGUUUCUCAUGUUAGGUGGUUUCUUUUACCCAAAUUUGUGUUGUGGACUUUUAUUAUUGCCCAUAAUCCAUCCUAUGAUCCUUGCUUGACACUUGAGGUUAGAAGAAAAGGAGAGAGCCCCCCUUUUUAAAAUUUUUUAUUUAUUCCGUAGCUAUUUUCAACCAGACAAGACUUGGUUUUUGGGCAUUAAUUGUAAGGCCAUGAAAGUUCUUAAAUUGAAGGAUUUACAUUGGCAACUGCUUAUUCUUAACUUAAAUUUGUUAAGAUU